Molecule: ribosomal RNA, 510 nt
Filed under: uncultured bacterium
Lineage: Bacteria
Description: partial 16S ribosomal RNA
Rfam family: Bacterial small subunit ribosomal RNA
Source: RNAcentral
GACGAACGCUGGCGGCGUGCUUAACACAUGCAAGUCGAACGAAGAGCGACGGAAGCUUGCUUCUAUCAAUCUUAGUGGCGAACGGGUGAGUAACGCGUAAUCAACCUGCCCUUCAGGGGGGGACAACAGUUGGAAACGACUGCUAAUACCGCAUACGAUCUAACCUCGGCAUCGAGGAUAGAUGAAAGGUGGCCUCUACAUGUAAGCUAUCACUGAAGGAGGGGAUUGCGUCUGAUUAGCUAGUUGGAGGGGUAACGGCCCACCAAGGCGAUGAUCAGUAGCCGGUCUGAGAGGAUGAACGGCCACAUUGGGACUGAGACACGGCCCAGACUCCUACGGGAGGCAGCAGUGGGGAAUCUUCCGCAAUGGACGAAAGUCUGACGGAGCAACGCCGCGUGAGUGAUGACGGCCUUCGGGUUGUAAAGCUCUGUUAAUCGGGACGAAAGGCCUUCUUGCGAAUAGUGAGAAGGAUUGACGGUACCGGAAUAGAAAGCCACGGCUAACUACGUG